Molecule: unclassified non-coding RNA, 329 nt
Organism: Colobus angolensis palliatus
Lineage: Eukaryota; Metazoa; Chordata; Mammalia; Primates; Cercopithecidae
Gene: 7SK
Rfam family: 7SK RNA
About the family: 7SK was discovered as an abundant small nuclear RNA in the mid-70s but a possible function has only recently been suggested. Two independent studies have found that 7SK RNA binds the CDK9/cyclin T complex (known as elongation factor P-TEFb).
Source: Ensembl
GGAUGUGACAGUGAUCUCGCUGCAACAUCUGUCACCCCGUUGAUUGCCAGGGUUGAUUUGACUGGUCCAGCUGGAUAGGCGGGUGUCUCCUUUCUCCCUCACUGCUCCAUGUGCAUCUCUCUUGAAGCUGCGCACUGGUCGAAGAGGAUGACCAUCACCCAUAGAGAAGUACGGUCUUCGGUCAAGGAUAUAUGAGAAGAUGCAUUCCCCUGCUAGAACCUCCAAACAAGCUCUCAAGGUUCAUUUGCAGGAGAAUGUAGAAUAAUCAAGCUUCCAAGACUCCUGACACUUCCAAAUGAGGUGCUGCAUGUGGCAGUCUGCCUUUCUUU